GGAGUCUGGGCCGUAUCUCAGUCCCAAUGUGCCCGAUCACCCUCUUAGGCCGGGUAACUAUCGUCGCCUUGGUGGGCCGUUACCUCACCAACUAGCUAAUAGUACGCGGGCCGCUCUCUGUGCGGAUCAAAAGAUCCUUUCCUGUGUGCCCUCUGACAGCACACAGCGUAUCCGGUAUUAUCUCCUAUUUCUAGGAGCUGUCCCCGUCACAGAGGUACGUCACCCACGCGUUACUCACCAGUCCGCCGCUCUAGGAUCAGUGCAAGCACCAAUCUUACCGCUCGACUUGCAUGCUUAAGACGCGCCGCCAGCGUUCGUU
This 319-nucleotide ribosomal RNA is filed under the name uncultured Treponema sp. Its description in RNAcentral is "partial 16S ribosomal RNA". Lineage: Bacteria; Pseudomonadati; Spirochaetota; Spirochaetia; Treponematales; Treponemataceae. The record is from RNAcentral.